Molecule: long non-coding RNA, 413 nt
Filed under: Vigna radiata
Lineage: Eukaryota; Viridiplantae; Streptophyta; Magnoliopsida; Fabales; Fabaceae
Description: long non-coding RNA (VRAD_LNC003504)
Source: RNAcentral
GGUGUUAGUAGGUCACUUGGGACUUGUUGGAGUCACUAAGUUGUUUGAAAAUAAGCCAUAAUUGGUGGAAUUCAAAUUGGGUCUCUAAAGUGAGGUUUUGAUAAAUUUUAGUUUCAAAUCUUGUGUUCAAUGAGUUUAAAAUGUGUUUAGGUUGGUUUAGAAACAUUUAUUUAGGUAUAUUUAAGUAUAGAAUACAAUUUAGGGGUGUUAAACAUUGAAAAAUAUGCAUAGGAUAGGUCAUGAGGGGUUGAGGGGUGCAAAUUCUGCAGAUUUAGAAUUAUGCAGUCUUGCUAAGUGAACUCCCCGCUGAGCGAGAGUUGAGUGAGCAUAACCCACUAUUUCUAUUUUCGCAUAGCGAGCUGGUGUCCGCUGAGUGAGCAGAACAGUUCUAGCUGAGCAAACUCCCCGUUGAG